Molecule: transfer-messenger RNA, 379 nt
Filed under: Alphaproteobacteria bacterium
Lineage: Bacteria; Pseudomonadati; Pseudomonadota; Alphaproteobacteria
Rfam family: Alphaproteobacteria transfer-messenger RNA
About the family: Bacterial tmRNA, also known as 10Sa RNA or SsrA, is named for its dual tRNA and mRNA-like properties. Its role is to liberate the mRNA from a stalled ribosome.
Source: RNAcentral
GGUGUUCCAUUCGCCGGCCCGAGCGCCUAUAUUAGGGGUGCCGGGCAACCGGCUAUGGCGCUACACGGAUACGUGGAAUAAGCGCAGCGGACCCGGGGGCAGUACCCGGCGCCUCCACCAGAGUUUCGAUUGCCGAAGCGGGCCCCGUGCCCGGUCCCGGCCCGUCAUGGGGGCGAAACAGGAUCGACGCGCGCAGUAAAGACGUAUCCGGCGCCCGGCAUGGUACCGCCGUUAUCGGGCCACAACGAUAGUUGCCAACGACAACUAUGGUGAGGCUCGCCUCGCCGCGUAAUCGCGGCUGGUAAGCCAAAAUCAAGCCCUCGGCCUUCACACGCCGAGGCGGGGUUCGGGGCGCACCUGGCAACAGAAGCGCCCCACG